CGAAGGACCCGAGCGUUAUCCGGAUUUAUUGGGUUUAAAGGGUGCGUAGGCGGAUUGGUAAGUCAGUGGUGAAAGCCCAUCGCUCAACGGUGGAACUGCCAUUGAUACUGCUAGUCUUGAGUAUGGUUGAGGUUGGCGGAAUGUGUCAUGUAGCGGUGAAAUGCUUAGAUAUGACACAGAACACCAAUUGCGAAGGCAGCUCGCUAAACCAUAACUGACGCUGAGGCACGAAAGCGUGGGGAGCAAACAGGAUUAGAUACCCUGGUAGUCCACGCCCUAAACGAUGAUAACUCGUUGUUGGCGAUACACAGUCAGCGACUAAGCGAAAGCAUUAAGUUAUCCACCUGGGAAGUACGACCGCAAGGUUG
Molecule: ribosomal RNA, 368 nt
Filed under: uncultured organism
Description: bacterial SSU rRNA
Rfam family: Bacterial small subunit ribosomal RNA
Source: RNAcentral